GGAACCCAGAUCUCCACUGGUGUCGACGGAGCCACGAAACCCGAAUCUCCGUGGGCGUCGUUGUCUUCUUCGAACCACAGAUCUGAGUUGCGUCUUCAGACCUGGUGGUGUCGGCUUCGGAUCUGGGUUGCGUCUACAGACGGGAUUGUCGGGGAUUUUGGAACAGACGGCAUCGUCGUCUGCCAAGUCUUGAACAGACGCGAAUCGACUGGAGUAGCAGAUCGAGAACGUGGGUCUUGGGUUCGCGAAUCGGCCAGAUCUGGAACGAGGAGCGAGCAAAACAACCAGAUCUGACCAGCGACCGGCGACGGACUGGCGAGUUGCGAACGGUGACUGGCGCGGCGGAGCUUAAGUCGACGGAGCGGCGGUGUUGGCGGUGGGGUCAGAUCGGCAGAGGGUUGACUUGAAAACCAUAUACUACAAA
RNAcentral lists this unclassified non-coding RNA (424 nucleotides) under Hevea brasiliensis (rubber tree). The record is from RNAcentral. Lineage: Eukaryota; Viridiplantae; Streptophyta; Magnoliopsida; Malpighiales; Euphorbiaceae.